GACGAACGCUGGCGGCGUGCCUAAUACAUGCAAGUUGAGCGCUGAAGGUUGGUACUUGUACCAACUGGAUGAGCAGCGAACGGGUGAGUAACGCGUGGGGAAUCUGCCUUUGAGCGGGGGACAACAUUUGGAAACGAAUGCUAAUACCGCAUAAAAACUUUAAACACAAGUUUUAAGUUUGAAAGAUGCAAUUGCAUCACUCAAAGAUGAUCCCGCGUUGUAUUAGCUAGUUGGUGAGGUAAAGGCUCACCAAGGCGAUGAUACAUAGCCGACCUGAGAGGGUGAUCGGCCACAUUGGGACUGAGACACGGCCCAAACUCCUACGGGAGGCAGCAGUAGGGAAUCUUCGGCAAUGGACGAAAGUCUGACCGAGCAACGCCGCGUGAGUGAAGAAGGUUUUCGGAUCGUAAAACUCUGUUGGUAGAGAAGAACGUUGGUGAGAGUGGAAAGCUCAUCAAGUGACGGUAACUACCCAGAAAGGGACGGAUAACUACGUG
RNAcentral lists this ribosomal RNA (497 nucleotides) under uncultured bacterium. Its description in RNAcentral is "partial 16S ribosomal RNA". It matches the Rfam family "Bacterial small subunit ribosomal RNA", at positions 28 to 507 of the family's 1533-position model. The record is from RNAcentral.